AGAUAUCCUGACUGAUCUGUACUUAGGUUUCACCACCUGAAAGUAAUAAAAUAUAUUUGGUUUGAUUCAUGAAUAAUUGUGCUAAUUAUUUAGUGCUGCUUCUUGUUUAUCUCACAACUGCUCUGAGGUCUGCCCAGGGGUCUCCUGGCCCAGGAUGACAAGUUCUCAGAAAUUACUUUGGCAAUAAAUUCAAUUGAUGUUGUUGUGGAAGAAGCAGGGCUUGAUGCUUAAAGGGUCUAGAGGAAGACGGGCCUACAUUCCUGAUGGACCCAAUAAAAAGAGUAUUUUUCCUGCCUUCAUCAACUGCCUUUUGCUCCUCACCUACUAGGGAGCAAAGCUAGAGGGCAUCUUAGAGAUGUGAGGUGGACUAGUUUGUAAAUAAAAUAGCAUUAAAAAUAUAUCCAACCUACAGAAUGAAGACUAUUGACCCUCCAUCGUUGGUUGAGGGACUUUGAGAGUUUUUGAGAGUUUUUGAGAGUUGUGUUUUUCAAGCUUAAUAUAGCUUUCCUUUCUAGCCUGUUCCUUCAGGUGACACCAACACCCUUUUGAGAAAUAUUUAGCUUGGUCUAGGCUACUGACAGUACCUAGAAAGAAAAAGAAAAAGAAUUAUUCUUGUUUAUUAUUUUAUAAAACCUUUACUAGACUUGGAGACUGCUGCAGCGACAGUCCAGUUAGUGGACUGGAAGACCAAUCAAUGAAUAAUUAUUGACUGUUUACAAAUGAGCCUAGCACGGUGCUUGACCCAUGGUGGGUGUUUAAUAAAUGUUAGCUGACUCAGAGUAUGUCUCAUUAUUGUGGCACUAUGUUAUAGUGAAAGAGCUAUGAAUUUGGCAUCAAACCACAUAGGUUCAAGCAACCAUGUGGAUGUAUGCUCUUGGGCAAAUUAUUUCGCUUCUUCGUAAACUGCUUAUCAUACCUAAACAAUGGGAGUAUUCACAUUAUAAUAGCUACCCCACACAGUUAUUUUGAGAAUGAAAUCAGAAGUGAGUUGGCUCAUUUUAAAGCACUUUAGAUACGUAAGUGAUACAUGUGUUUGUGUAAUAUGUGUGUGCACAAAGGCAGAUAUUAAAAAUUUUUUAAAAUCCUGCCUUUUUCUCUUUCCCAUCUCACUCAGCAAUAGAAGUAGGCAUAGGUCUCUGAUAGGCUGGAUGGCAUCCUGAGUACAGUGUAACUGUGGAUAGUUUAGGCUUUGCAGCCAAGAAGGCGUGCAUUCAAAUCUUUCUUAGCUCUUAUAUUUGGUUGGUUAUGUAACUUUUGAUAAGUUAUUUAAACUCUCUAAGCCUCAGUUUCUUGACAUUUAAAAUGGGGACCUACCUCAAAAAGUUAUUGUGGCGAUUCAUUGAGUUGAUAUUUGCAAGUCUUGGCUCAGUGCCUGGUACAUACCAAAUGUCUGUCACUUUUAUUUUUUAUUAUUAUUUUAGCUAUUAUACCUCUGGACCAGGGAAGCAUCAGAAAAAUGACUUGGGAACAUCUUAUGAGGCAUGGUGUGGGAUGGCAUUUCUACCAUAUGCUUUUUCUUGCUUGGGUAGAUUCUUCCUUUUCUGAAAUUAGCAGAGACCUCUUAGACUCUUCCACAUACACAAGGUAAAGUCUAUCUUCCUUAUACUUUACUGAAAGCCAUUGGCCCUACCAAGCAAGGGACAGGCCUAGGCAACUUCCCUGGAGCUUUCACUUCAACUAGGAACUCAACUCUUUUGUCCCAGAAGUUCCCAACUUCAGGUAAGGAGAAAGGGACUCAGUCAAUGCAUAGCACAGAUCUGGACCUCAAGUGUGGGUGGGAGAAGAUCAUCUGCAUUUGACUCACACAAGUCUAGAGGGAAGACUUGAGUCUUCCCUCAGCUGAAGUAGAUAUUCCAAGUCCUCCUUGAAUGCUGUGAGAGCCCCUCAGUGAUUCUCUGGAGGCAGGUAUCACUAUCUACUCCUCACCCAGGUCUUGUAUUGCCAUGACUUCAUCUUCUAGUGGAGGACAGAAGAAAGUAAUCCCUUACCUAGUCCCUACGGACUUAUUAAAAUUGGGAACUCAACACGAACUUCUGUAUGGCCCAUUAUGGAAGGCCAUACACUAGAUUCUCAGGAUCCAGUGAUAACUAAAACAUGGAUGCUGCUUGCCAUUGUAGCACUCGUAGUCCAGAGAUGAGAGAGGCUUUUAAAAGUCCACAUUCUCCUUUGGGUAGGACGCUUACCAAUCCUGGGUUGUUAUGUAAUGAUGAAGCCCUCGCCUGAACAAUAAGCCACCAUAGGCUUCUGUUUCCUAUUCCAAAUUUAUCUGCCCAAUGUCCCAUUCUGUUAAGAAUUCUUUCACCCAUGAGUUGAUGUGAAUGUGUUAAUUGGUGUGGAAGUACCAGUUGUGAAAGAACAAGUUCCAUCUAUUAAGAUCCAUAUUUUGGCCAGAUGCAGUGGCUCACCACUGUAAUCCUAGCACCUUGGGAGGCCAAGGUGGGAGGAUCGCUUGAGCCCAGGAGUUCGAGACCAGCCUGGGCAACAAGGCAAGAACUCAUCUCUACUAAAUUUUUUUUUCUAAUUAGCCAGGCAUGGUGGUGCAUGCCUGUAGACCCAGCUACUCUGGAGGCUGAGGCAGGAGGAUGGCUUGAGCCUGGGAAUUCGAGCUUGCAGUGAGCUAUGAUCGUGCCACUGCACUCCAACAUGGGUGACAGAGCAAGACCCUGUCUUUAAAAAAUAAGAUCCAGAGACUUUUAGUCACAGUGGUCAUUAGUAAUAUUUAGUGAGAAGAACAGCCUUCUUUUAUGUUUUACUGCAAUUCAUUCUUUUUUUUUCUUUUUUUUUUUUAGAGAUGAGGUCUUGCUCUGUCACCCAGGCUGGCAUGCAAUGGCACAAUCAUCGCUCACUAUAGCCUCGAAAGAUAGGUGCACGCCACCACGCCUGGCUAUUUUUAUUUUUUGCUAUGUUGUCCAGGCUAUUCGCAAGCUCCUAGACUGAAGUGAUCCUCCUGCCUUGGCCUCCCAAAGUGCUGGGAUUACAAGUGUGCACCACCGUGCCUGGCCCAAUUCAUUCCAUUAGGAGCCCAUGGGCUGAUUAUGUUAGAGUGUAUGGGUCCUAGAACUAUAGGACUUACCCUGACCACCACAUCUUGAGUAUUAAUAACCAGAGAGCCAGAGAAGACCUGCUCUGCAGGGAGUAGCCUCAUCCUAGCCUCAGGUCUGGGGCAGGAUUGAGGAUUCCAAUUCGCUACAAAGGUUAUUUGCUUCUACAUACUUCUCUAUAUUUGCAUAGAUUUGGGAAAUGAUAUAAGGGACAAGGGAAGAUCAAAAUAGCCACUUCAUUCCCUGAAAACUCCUACUUUAGCCACUUCCCCAAAGCUAGAGGGUUUUUCCUACUCUACAUUAACUUGCUAGUUUAUAAGCUCUCAGAUUUUUUAAAGCUUAAUCACUUAUAUCGUGUAAGUUGCAGCAUGAUGAAGGCUGGUCACUGCUGAGGGGUUGAUGCAUUCCUACCAGGGCUUGGAAGCAAAUUGGACCACAAAUCCCUAACCAGAAUGAACCUUUCAUAUGCAUGGGCCCCAGAUCUUUUCAAAACAUUAACAAUUCUCUUGAGUUACAAUCCAGAUCAAAGUUGUGUUUGACUUGUAAUUUAAUAUAGUAUUUUAAACCAAUUGGAACCCAUAUAUUUGCUAAUACUGGUGGCCCAGAGUAGCAAGUUAUUCCAUUAAUGAAAACAUUUGGUAAUAGCUCUAGAAAUGAUAGAGAUGAGGGAUGAGGAUUAGAGGACAGGCAGAAUGGGUUGAGUCUUUCUUCUUCUUCUUCUUCUUUUUUUUUUUUUUUUUUUGAGACAGAUUCUCACUCUGUCACCAAGGCUGGAGUACAGUGGCACUGUGUCGGCUGGCUGCAACCUCCGUCUCCUGGGUUCAAGCAAUUCUCCUGCCUCAGCCUCCCGAGUAGCUGGGAUUACAGGUGCCAACCACCAAGCCUGGCUAGUUUUUAUAUUUUUAGUAGAGAUGGGGUUUCACCAUGUUGGCCAGGUUGGUCUUGAACUCCUGACCUCAAGUGAUCCACCUGCGUUGGCCUCCCAAAGUGCUGGGAUUACAGGCAUGAGCCACCAUGCCCAGCGAAUCUUUCUUCUUAUAGUCAGUGGUCCUCAGGCCCUUCGAGGAAGUGGCGCCUUCAUGUUUUCUCCUCCAUGUAAUCAGAAGUCCACCUUCUCACUGGACAGCUUCCCUCCACUGACCUCAGGAAGUGGAGGAUGAAUAGGAGCAGCCAAGCUAAUUAGAGGAUUGAAGGCAGGGUCUUUGUCAUCUAUAAUUAAGGAGAGGUGCAUCCUGUGAUGUGAGCUAUACAGCCUCUGCCUUCCCUAGCUGGUCCAAACCCCAGUGAGUCAACACUGACCCUUAACCAGAGGUAGGUGAACAGAGCCUAGCACAGUUACAAUAAGGGUAGAUGGAGUGAUGGCUUAUAGCUACUGAGAAAAAUCCAUUACUUACCCUCAGAUUAUUCUUAAUGGCAGCUCCUGAAAACUGUCUUUUCCUUUAAGGUACAGGACCUAAAGAAUUCUACUCUUAAAUUAGCUGUCCCAGCUGUCAGUCUUAUAGCUCAUUCCCAAAUCAUGAGGUCCAAUGCAUUUUCCAAAUAUGUAAUGACUCCCUUUUGUUCUGCAUGGCUUCUAAGGUAUCUGAGAGAUCAUCUUAGAAAAUGAAAAAGAGGUAAAAUGCUUCAUCCUAGAAGUAAUUUUUUCCUCCUCAGACAGUUUGCACUUGCCCUGUGGAAAUGAGACAAUGAAUGAGAAGGAACACCAGAUGCUUCUUCCAUCGGUCCUGAUUGGGACUUAAAAAGGUGUGCCCCACUGCUCAGUUUCCCCUGACCCUUUGAAACUUCUCUCAAUGUUGAAUGGAACUCCACUUCUGUCUGUUCUGGAGAACCCAGCCAGGGCCCAAAGAGGGGAUGCUCUGUAUUUCCGAAUACCAGCUUCUACACUUAACAGCUAUGUUUGACUUUGGACAAAUUAUUUAACCUCUCUAAGCCUCAGUUUUUCAACUUGAAUGUAGAAAUUGUAAUAGGGACUGUUUCAUUGAGUUGUCAUUAGCAUUGAGUGGGAUGAUGUAUACAUACCUCUUUGCACAGUACCUGAGGUUAAUAAAUAUGGGGCUCAUUAAAUAUUAGCUAUUGUUACUCUUGAUAUCUUGCCAGCAGAAAAGGGGUGAGGAGCUCUCAUCAAACAUUUUUAACCUUCCUGAAUGGCAAGUCUUUGUCUUAUUCUGGGUUCCUUCUGAACUGUGUAUUAUCCUGUAAGUAGGUGAACACAGAGCCUCUUGGGUACCUAACAAGAAGCCAGGCCACUGCUAAUCAAAAUCAGGCAGUGAGCAAUUGUUAAUUGUAAGAAAGACCAGGAAGAUUUCCUGUCAUCUCUUGGGGCUCCUACUAUUGCACUGAUUAACUGUGACCCAGAACUUUUUUCUUUUUUAGAUGGAUUCUUGCUCUGUCACCCAGGCUGGAGUGCAGUGGCGCAAUCUUGGCUCACUGCAACCUCCUCCUCCCGGGUUCAAGCAAUUCUCCUACCUCAGCCUCCCGAGUAGCUGUGACUACAGGCGCACACCGCCACGCCCGGCUAAUUUUUGUAUUUUUAUUAGAGACAGGGUUUCACCAUAUUGGCCAGGCUGGUCUCGAACUCCUGACCUCAUGAUCCACCUGCCUUGGCCUCCCAAAGUGCUGGGAUUGCAGGCGUGAGCCACCACGCCCAGCCCCCAGAACAUUUAAAAAUAAUAAUAAUAAGAUCUGUGCCCCGAUAGGUUAGCCGACUAGUUAACCUGAGGAAUUUCAGCAGGGAAAGGACUACAGAAAAACUUGGUUCAGAGCUUCAGUAGACUCUGUCUUGCUCCCUUUAUAACAGUCAUAUUAGGUCUUUUGUGUGAGAAGGAUUCCGUGUCCAUCACUUAGUUUAUCAGAGAAUGUGUUUUUAAAGGCUCCUGAGAGCAGGCAAGAACAAUUUCCCUCAUCCUGUUGCUGUUAAGUGGGAUAUACAACCAUCCUGAUGCAAAUCUUUUUUGGGAGAGGAAGGUUAUCCGGGCUCCAUGACUCUUCCAUAAAAAGUUUAUAAUAAGGUCCUUUAAUGGCUGUCACUCUAGAUAUUUGUGGGAAAAGAAUGACUGGAAAGCUAGAACACAUUCAAAAUCCAAGGGCCAGAAAAAUUUUAAGCUCCAGCCUCAGCCUCCGAGCUCCUGGGACCAGCCCCAUAAGAACCAUCCAUUCUAGUCCAACUUGCAAAUGGAGCCCAAGAGUUGAACCUCGGCAUGGGACUCAAGAUGUCUCUAAAGUUCAAAAACACCUGGAUUAUCUGAAAGCAGAACCGGGUCCAGGUCCUGUGCUGAGGUCUCCAGUUUUCUCUAAGUAAAAUGUUUCUAGUGGAGAAAAAGCCUGUGGCCUCUGGGCAGAGAUUUGUUCUAUAGAGAAGUGAAGGAAAUGUGCAAGAGAGAACAGUUUUACUCUGGAGCUCCCUCUACUGGCUCUUUGAUAGAAAUCCAUCGCAGUUAUUCCGCCCUGCCUUGUGGGUAUCAAGUUAAAGCAUCCGAGCAUCCUGGCAUCUUGAAGCAAGGAGAAAAGGUGUCCUGAGGUGCCAAGGAAGAUGAAACUGCAGAUACUGGUUUCUUCUGCCUCCUUUACAAUUUCAUCUAAUGUUUUGGGGGUGCCAAGAUAGUGCUAAGCAUUUUGUGUGCAUUAUUUCAUUUAAUACUCACCAUAAACCAGCAUUUUACAAAUGAGGCAGCUGAGACCUGAAGGGAUUAAAUAAGUUCCUGGCAUCACCAUAGACUAAUAGACCCCCUUAGUGACCCUCAUAAUUCUUAUGAUUCUCCUGAGUGACAACUCAAGAGAAGCAAGAGUCAACGGACAAUGUGAGGUUGGAAGUGGCACUUGAUCUCAUCACCUAAUAUAAAGAGGCUCUGAGAUUGUGCCAUAAACUUCCUAGGUCCUAUAGAAUUUCAGCCCUGUUUGUCUUUUUAUUCUUUUAAUUUUAUUUAUUUAUUUAUUUAUUUAAGACGAACUCUCACUCUGUUGCCCGGGAUGGAGUGUGCAGUGGUGCGAUCUUGGCUCACUGCAACCUCCACCUCCUGGUUUCAAGCAAUCUUCCCACCUCAGCCUCCCGAGUAGCUAGAAUUACAGGCAUGCACCAUCACACCUGGUUAAUUUUUUCUGUAUUUUUAGUAGAGAAAGGGUUUCACCAUGUUGGCCAGGCUGGUCUUGAUCUCCUGACCUCAAGUGAUCCACCUGCCUCAGCCUCCCAAAGUGCUAGGAUUACAGGCGUGAGCCACUGCACCCAGCCUCCUGUUUGUUUUUUUUUUUAAUUCAGCCCUCGAGGCAAUUAAUUACAUGGCAAGGCUUUGUCCAAUCUGCACUCUCACUGUGAUGCCCAGGUUGAAGAAAGCAGGGAACUACCACAGUGACUAAGAAGAGUUUCCAUGACAGAAGUGAGGCCUUUUAAAAUUUGUGGAACAUGUUCACACCUCCUUUUAAAAUAAAAUUCCAUGAGAUAGGUAGGGCAGAUAGUGCCCACACAUUUUAUAGGUUGGGAACUUAAGAUACUGAGUGCCUGUUUCCAGGUUUUGUUUAGGGGCAAAUGGCAGAAUCAAGACCAGAACUGUCACUCUCAGCUUAAGUUCUGACUUUUUGGUUGGUGUUGGUUGGAACUCAGAGUCUAGCAUGGGUUUUUUAAUUACAUAAAAUAAAGACUGUGAAGCUACCUUCUUGUUUUACAUCCAGAUCCUUUCCUGAGUCUCUCUGUUUUGGGCUAGUUCAUAAUUGAGCUUCCUUGAUAUUGAGUCAUUUGGGAAUUGGGAAUGACAUAAGCCACUCACCUUAUUACUGUUGGUCUCUCACCAGUCCACAUUUUAGAGAUAUCUAGGUCCCUGAGAGAAUCCCAAAUAUUAUUUCAGUUCUCCUGUAGCUCAUGAAGCCGUAAAUAUUUCACCUCACCCAGGAGAAUCAAAGCAUUUUCACAUUGGUUCUUACUGGGGAGUUGAGAUAUGGGUAAGUAAUAGGAGUCCCAUUCCUGCUUUGGCUGGGGUUCGGGUCUCCAAUUUCACUGCCAGUGUGUCUCUAAAUCUACACAGUGGGACAGUGGCUACAGCAGACAUCACUCAGCUUCCCACCCCUGACUUGAGACCUUCCACUAGCUGCCCCUUCCCCUAAAAACAGAGUGAUGUCAUAAUGGUAUCAGAAUGGCACCUGCUGAUAACAACACAGAAAUAACAAGAGCAGACUUUCUGCAGUGUCUCCUGAGCAAUUGGUUGUCAUUGUCCUAAACAGAGCAGCUAGGUUAAAAAGAUUUAUCCAUAAUGUAACCUCCUGGCCCUCAGCUAUGGGUGGAAGCAGCACUUUCUGGUUUGACCUCCUAAUACCACAAACUCCACUUUGCCAGAAAAGUGACUUCUUGAUGAAUAGUCUGUUCAGAUAGGCCAAUUUGGAGUAUAUUCAUAUUUGGCCACCUGCUGGAGCGUCAACGACCAAGAGGAGACCAGAUGAGUUUUCAAAGCAGUCCUCAAACACCCAGGACACACCUCAUCCUUUGCCUCGUGCUUUCUGCAAUGUUGCUGUUCAUGUUCAUCUUCCUAUUAACAUUUGCCAUAAUAACCCCUCAUUGACCACCAUCAUUCCUCCAUCCACCACCAACUCAGCUCCUUCUCUAAAGUGCCCUCUAAUGGGCAGUGGCUUUGGUCUCUGUUUGGCAAAUUAUGUCCAGAGGGUUAACAUUAAUUUCUCUUUCUCCUAUUCCUCCCUCAUGCUAGACUCAGUCCAACACUCAGCCUCCUGUCAGGAAAACCAUAGCAAAUCCUACUUUCUGCUAAAAUGAAGUUACAAGACACUUUUCCAGAGUAGUCACACUCAAUGAAGGGACCCAGGGUGUAUCUGAGUGUGAUGUAAUUGAAACCACAUGGAAAGACUAGAAAUACCUUGCUCCCAGUCAGAUAUAGUGAAACAGCUUACUCAAGACAGGACUAAGAUUUAGAAUAUAGGGGGGCUAGGGAGGAGAAAGAGAAAGAUCCUCAGAAGUGGAUUGUCCCUGAAUACAGGAUGAAAUCAUCUAGAUUUUUUUCUCCAAUUAAAUUUGCAUUUCAUUCAACCACAUUGCAAUGGCUUCAUACUGGGCAUUUUCAUUUGAGACCCAAGGCUUUUCUUCAUGGGUCCUGAGCCACAGGUUCCUGGAUGGUGAGGUAAGUGGCAUUUGCCCACACUGUCUAGGGUGGUUUGUAGUGCUUUGAUAAACCCUGUGCUGAUGAGUCAGAUCCACCCUGUUAGGCCCUAAAAUUUGUCCUCUAUUGGUCCCUCUUUACCCAAAUGCUCUUCAGGGAUCCUAGCCCAGAUAUAGAUGUUAGUCCAGCCUCACAAUGUUAAUUUAGACCUCUAUAAAACCAAAACAGAUCCUGAG
Molecule: long non-coding RNA, 9369 nt
Organism: Pan troglodytes (chimpanzee)
Lineage: Eukaryota; Metazoa; Chordata; Mammalia; Primates; Hominidae
Exons: 2
Source: RefSeq, a predicted model, not a curated record